AGCAGCCGCCGCGGUAAUACGGAGGGUGCAAGCGUUAUCCGGAUUUAUUGGGUUUAAAGGGUCCGUAGGCGGAUCUGUAAGUCAGUGGUGAAAUCUCACAGCUUAACUGUGAAACUGCCAUUGAUACUGCAGGUCUUGAGUAAAUUUGAAGUGGCUGGAAUAAGUAGUGUAGCGGUGAAAUGCAUAGAUAUUACUUAGAACACCAAUUGCGAAGGCAGGUCACUAAGAUUUAACUGACGCUGAUGGACGAAAGCGUGGGUAGCGAACAGGAUUAGAUACCCGCGUAGUCCCUGUCUCUUAUAC
This 303-nucleotide ribosomal RNA is filed under the name uncultured bacterium. RNAcentral describes it as "partial 16S ribosomal RNA". It matches the Rfam family "Bacterial small subunit ribosomal RNA", at positions 507 to 807 of the family's 1533-position model. The record is from RNAcentral.